This 555-nucleotide ribosomal RNA is filed under the name uncultured Paraglomus. Its description in RNAcentral is "bacterial SSU rRNA". It matches the Rfam family "Eukaryotic small subunit ribosomal RNA", at positions 550 to 1114 of the family's 1831-position model. Lineage: Eukaryota; Fungi; Glomeromycota; Glomeromycetes; Paraglomerales; Paraglomeraceae. The record is from RNAcentral.
UUGGAGGGCAAGUCUGGUGCCAGCAGCCGCGGUAAUUCCAGCUCCAAUAGCGUAUAUUAAAGUUGUUGCAGUUAAAAAGCUCGUAGUUGAAUUUCAGGCCUGGCUGGACGGUCCGCCCUUCGGGUGAGUACUGUCUGUGGUCGGGUCCUACCUUCUGGCGAAGCGUCAUGGCCUUAACCGGCCGUGGCGGGGAACCAGGACUUUUACUGUGAAAAAAUUAGAGUGUUCAAAGCAGGCCUUUGCUCGAAUACGUUAGCAUGGAAUAAUAGAAUAGGACGUGCGGUUCUAUUUUGUUGGUUUCUAGGACCGCCGUAAUGAUUAAUAGGGACAGUCGGGGGCAUCAGUAUUCAAUUGUCAGAGGUGAAAUUCUUGGAUUUAUUGAAGACUAACUACUGCGAAAGCAUUUGCCAAGGAUGUUUUCAUUAAUCAGUGAACGAAAGUUAGGGGAUCGAARACGAUCAGAUACCGUCGUAGUCUUAACCGUAAACUAUGCCGACUAGGGAUCGGGCGAUGUUCUUUUUUUUGACUCGCUCGGCACCCUAUGGGAAACCAAAG